This 725-nucleotide long non-coding RNA is filed under the name Homo sapiens (human). Its description in RNAcentral is "HSALNT0306585". Lineage: Eukaryota; Metazoa; Chordata; Mammalia; Primates; Hominidae. The record is from RNAcentral.
GCCCACCUCGGCCUCCCAGAGUGCUGGGAUUACAGAUUACAGGCCUGCCUAUCUAUCAGCAACCCCCAGUAUAGUGUAAGAUUUUCAAGGACAAGAUCUACAGAAACCCACUACACAGGAAACACUGCUUUGCCGAGCACAGGCCUGACGCAUGUGGGCUGAACUGAAUACAGCACCCACACUGGAACUACGGAAAUGACGUUAGACAAAAAGCAAAUUCAAGCAAUUUUCUUAUUUGAGUUCAAAACGGGUUGUAAAGCAGUGAAGACAACUCGCAACAUCAACAAUGCAUUUGGCAAUGCAUUUGGUGGUUCAGGAAGUUUUGCAAAGGACACGAGAGCCUUGAAGAUGAAGAGCUUAGUGGCCGGCCAUCAGAAGUUGACAAUGGCCAACUGAGAGCAAUCAUCGAAGCUGAUCCUCUUGGAACCACACAAGAAGCUGCUGAAGAACUCAACAUCAACCAUUCUACAGUCUUUUAAAGCAAAUUUGAAAGGUGAAAAAGCUUGGUAAGUGGGUGCCUUAUAAGCUGAGAGAAAACUUUUUAAAAAAUCGUUGCUUUCAAGUGUCAUCUUCUCCUCUUCUACACAACGAACCAUUUCUCAAUCAGAUUAUGACAUGCAACAAAAAAUGGAUUUUAUAUGAGAAUCAGCAAUGACCAGCUCAGUGGUUGGACCAAGAAGCAGCUCCAAAGCACUUCCCAAAGCCAAACUUGCAUCAAAAAAAAA